GACCAAUUUCUGCUGGCUGUACCGGAUCUUCACCAAGUCUUUGUUCGACACCCUUCCAGGAUCUUUCUUGUAGAUAUUGAGCUCCAGCCUUACCAAUGGCAACAGUACCUAGCAAAAGAAUUCCUGCAUUAAUCAUUAAAUACAUUGAAGGAUCACCAUGCUCUGGCAAGAGCUAAAGACUAGAGAGUUUCUUUUAAGUUAAAUAAACUAACCUGAUGAA
Long non-coding RNA from Solenopsis invicta (red fire ant), 220 nucleotides. RefSeq lists it as uncharacterized. The transcript is spliced from 2 exons. Lineage: Eukaryota; Metazoa; Arthropoda; Insecta; Hymenoptera; Formicidae. The record is from RefSeq and is a predicted model, not a curated record.